UACGUAGGGGGCAAGCGUUGUCCGGAAUCAUUGGGCGUAAAGAGCGUGUAGGCGGCUCGGUAAGUCCGCUCUGAAAGCCCGGGGCUCAACCCCGGGAGGCGGGCGGAUACUGUCGGGCUAGAGUCCGGAAGAGGCGAGUGGAAUUCCUGGUGUAGCGGUGAAAUGCGCAGAUAUCAGGAGGAACACCAAUUGCGAAGGCAGCUCGCUGGGACGUUACUGACGCUGAGACGCGAAAGCGUGGGGAGCAAACAGG
RNAcentral lists this ribosomal RNA (253 nucleotides) under uncultured bacterium. RNAcentral's name for it is "partial 16S ribosomal RNA". It matches the Rfam family "Bacterial small subunit ribosomal RNA", at positions 524 to 776 of the family's 1533-position model. The record is from RNAcentral.